RNAcentral lists this ribosomal RNA (216 nucleotides) under uncultured bacterium. RNAcentral describes it as "partial 16S ribosomal RNA". It matches the Rfam family "Bacterial small subunit ribosomal RNA", at positions 524 to 737 of the family's 1533-position model. The record is from RNAcentral.
UACGUAGGGUGCAAGCGUUAAUCGGAAUUACUGGGCGUAAAGCGUGCGCAGGCGGUUAUGUAAGACAGAUGUGAAAUGCCCGGGCUUAACCUGGGAACUGCAUUUGUGACUGCAUGGCUAGAGUUUGGCAGAGGGGGGUGAGAAUUCCACGUGUAGCAGUGAAAUGCGUAGAUAUGUGGAGGAACACCGAUGGCGAAGGCAGCCCCCCUGGGUCGA